UGCACGUGUGUUUCCUGUGCGUUCGUACAGCUAUAAAACGCGAGUUCGGUCUGCAAUUUACUGAGCACUUCUGAAUAGGGGACCCUCUGGAAACAACUAAGCGUCUGCUAUUCUUUAGAUUUACCAGAAAAAUAACCAUGCAGCUGAAAGUGAUCCUUGUGGGAUUGGCCAUCUUUGGUCUCAUUGUGGCAGAGAGCUGUGCCAUGCCUGCCAGCAGCUCCAAUGAAGCCGAGGCCAGGGCUGAUCCCGAGACUGCAGAGCGUACCGAGCAGACCAACGCCGAGGAGGCACGUGUCGGCACGAAAUGCAUAGAAACCCUGUGCGGGUAGUAGCCCCAUGCAAGAGAGCGACACGUUCGA
This is a long non-coding RNA of Dermacentor silvarum, 359 nucleotides long. RefSeq lists it as uncharacterized. The transcript is spliced from 3 exons. The record is from RefSeq and is a predicted model, not a curated record. Lineage: Eukaryota; Metazoa; Arthropoda; Arachnida; Ixodida; Ixodidae.